GACGAACGCUGGCGGCGUGCCUAAUACAUGCCAGUCGAACGCUGAAGGAGGAGCUUGCUUCUCUGGAUGAGUUGCGAACGGGUGAGUAACGCGUAGGUAACCUGCCUGGUAGCGGGGGAUAACUAUUGGAAACGAUAGCUAAUACCGCAUAAUAGUAGAUGUUGCAUGACAUUUGCUUAAAAGGUGCAAUUGCAUCACUACCAGAUGGACCUGCGUUGUAUUAGCUAGUUGGUGAGGUAACGGCUCACCAAGGCGACGAUACAUAGUCGGCCUGGGAGGGUGAUCGGCCCCACUGGGACCGAGACCAGGCCCAGACUCCUACGGGAGGCAGCAGUAGGGAAUCUUCGGCAAUGGACGGAAGUCUGACCGAGCAACGCCGCGUGAGUGAAGAAGGUUUUCGGAUCGUAAAGCUCUGUUGUAAGAGAAGAACGAGUGUGGGAGUGGAAAGUUCACACUGUGACGGUAUCUUACCAGAAAGGGACGGCUAACUACGUG
This 495-nucleotide ribosomal RNA is filed under the name uncultured bacterium. Its description in RNAcentral is "partial 16S ribosomal RNA". It matches the Rfam family "Bacterial small subunit ribosomal RNA", at positions 28 to 507 of the family's 1533-position model. The record is from RNAcentral.